Molecule: non-coding RNA, 351 nt
Organism: Salvelinus sp. IW2-2015
Lineage: Eukaryota; Metazoa; Chordata; Actinopteri; Salmoniformes; Salmonidae
Source: RefSeq, a predicted model, not a curated record
CAGGUGAAGCCUUCUGAUUUCCAAUACCUGAAGGUCAUCGGCAAAGGAAGCUUUGGAAGGUGGUGUUAGCGAGACACAGACAGAGUGAAAGUAUGUAUGCUGUCAAGGUUCUACAGAAACAGGUCAUACUGAGGAAGAAAGAGCAGAGAGAUGUGAUGGUAGAGAGGAGUGUGUUGCUGAAGGUACUGCAGCAUCCAUUCCUGGUGGGGCUCCACUUCUCCUUUCCAGACCUCUUCCCGGAGCCCAGAGCAACAUUCUACUCUGCAGAGAUGGCCUCAGCCCUGGGCUACCUCCACUCCCUCAACAUAGCCUACAGGUGACACACACACACACACACACACACAACACACA